RNAcentral lists this unclassified non-coding RNA (475 nucleotides) under Hevea brasiliensis (rubber tree). Lineage: Eukaryota; Viridiplantae; Streptophyta; Magnoliopsida; Malpighiales; Euphorbiaceae. The record is from RNAcentral.
GUAACCCAUGCAAGAUACAUAAGACUUAUCCUUUAUAAUAUAAAAUCGGAUGUAUGCAAGAAAUUUCCAAAACAAACCGCUACUGGGCGCUGGCUAAGGUAAUUUUAUAUAUGCUUUGCGACUCCUCUGGGAUGACUAAAGGUUGAAUCAUAUGGCUCUACUUAAAAGGACGGUGCUCUUGCAGUUCAACUCUGCUCCUUCCGCGGUGGAUCUCACAGGGUCGGUUUCAUUUUCAUGGAUAAUGUUAUUGGAGAAGAUUAGUGUAGAUGUCACUCUUAUUGUUUGUUUCUUGUGGAGUAUUCAAAUUCAAUUCAGCUUUAGACACAGCGGCGAGGAUCAGUUGAGAAGCCGUCCAAUGGGUGAUCCAUAACAACCACGUCCAUGUUCUUUCUUACAAAUCACAAUAGUUUUCCCUUGCUCAAUGUCAAUGAAGAAACAAGCAAGAAAAAGAAAAUAAGGGACUAAACAUUUAUUG